Molecule: small nuclear RNA, 107 nt
Organism: Suricata suricatta (meerkat)
Lineage: Eukaryota; Metazoa; Chordata; Mammalia; Carnivora; Herpestidae
Source: Ensembl
GUACUCACACUGGCAGCACAUAUACUAAAAUUGGAAUGUUACAGAGAAGAUUAAUGUGGCCCCCACACAAGUAUGACAUGCAAAUGCAUGAAUUGGUCCAUAAAAAA